RNAcentral lists this unclassified non-coding RNA (244 nucleotides) under plant metagenome. RNAcentral describes it as "partial contains small subunit ribosomal RNA, internal transcribed spacer 1, and 5.8S ribosomal RNA". The record is from RNAcentral.
UCUCCGUUGGUGAACCAGCGGAGGGAUCAUUACCGAGUUUACAACUCCCAAACCCCCUGUGAACUUAUACCUUAUACUGUUGCUUCGGCGGGUUCUCGCCCCGGGACAGGUUCUCUCUUGAGCCAGCCCGGAACCAGGCGCCCGCCGGGGGACCCCUAAACUCCUGUAUUUUUUUACUUUUACAUGUCUGAGUGGAAUCAUAUAAAAUGAAUCAAAACUUUCAACAACGGAUCUCUUGGUUCUG